GAUAAACGCUGGCGGCGUGCAUAACACAUGCAAGUCGAACGAUGAACCUUAAUUGAUUUCUUCGGAAUGAAAAUAAGUGGAUUAGUGGCGAACGGGUGAGUAACACGUGAGUAACCUGCCUUACACAAGGGGAUAGCCUUUGGAAACGAAGAAUAAUACCCUAUAAAGUUAGUCAAUCGCAUGGUAGACUAACCAAAGAUUUAUCGGUGUAAGAUGGACUUGCGUCUGAUUAGCUAGUUGGUGAGAUAAAAGCCCACCAAGGCGACGAUCAGUAGCCGGCUUGAGAGAGUGUACGGCCACAUUGGGACUGAGACACGGCCCAAACUCCUACGGGAGGCAGCAGUGGGGAAUUUUGCACAAUGGGGGAAACCCUGAUGCAGCGACGCCGCGUGAUUUAGAAGGCCUUCGGGUUGUAAAAAUCUUUUUUAUGGGAUGAAAAUGACAGUACCAUAAGAAUAAGGUCCGGCUAAAUACGUGCCAGCAGCCGCGGUAAUACGUAUGGACCGAGCGUUGUCCGGAAUCAUUGGGCGUAAAGGGUACGUAGGCGGCCUAGUAAGUUAGAAGUGAAAUAAUAUAGCUCAACUAUAUAAAGCUUUUUUAACUGUUAGGCUUGAGACAUGAAAGGGAAAGUGGAAUUCCCAGUGUAGCGGCGAGAUGUGCACAUAUUACGAAGAUAUCUGC
This 681-nucleotide ribosomal RNA is filed under the name uncultured Anaerococcus sp. Its description in RNAcentral is "bacterial SSU rRNA". It matches the Rfam family "Bacterial small subunit ribosomal RNA", at positions 28 to 712 of the family's 1533-position model. Lineage: Bacteria; Bacillati; Bacillota; Tissierellia; Tissierellales; Peptoniphilaceae. The record is from RNAcentral.